This 253-nucleotide ribosomal RNA is filed under the name uncultured bacterium. RNAcentral's name for it is "partial 16S ribosomal RNA". It matches the Rfam family "Bacterial small subunit ribosomal RNA", at positions 524 to 776 of the family's 1533-position model. The record is from RNAcentral.
UACGUAGGGUGCAAGCGUUAAUCGGAAUUACUGGGCGUAAAGGGCGCGUAGGCGGUUUGUACAGUCAGAUGUGAAAGCCCCGGGCUUAACCUGGGAACUGCGUUUGAAACUGGGAGACUUGAGUGUGGCAGAGGGGGGUGGAAUUCCACGUGUAGCAGUGAAAUGCGUAGAUAUGUGGAGGAACACCGAUGGCGAAGGCAGCCCCCUGGGUCAACACUGACGCUCAUGCACGAAAGCGUGGGGAGCAAACAGG